CCUACGGGGGGCAGCAGUGAGGAAUAUUGGUCAAUGGGCGCGAGCCUGAUCCAGCCAAGUAGCGUGAAGGAUGACUGCCCUCCGGGUUGUAAACUUCUUUUAUAAAGGAAUAAAGUGAGGCACGUGUGCCUUUUUGUAUGUACUUUAUGUAUAAGGAUCGGCUAACUCCGUGCCAGCAGCCGCGGUAAUACGGAGGAUCCGAGCGUUAUCCGGAUUUAUUGGGUUUAAAGGGAGCGUAGAUGGGUUGUUAAGUCAGUUGUGAAAGUUUGCGGCUCAACCGUAAAAUUGCAAUUGAUACUGGCAGACUUGAGUACAGUUGAGGUAGGCGGAAUUCGAGGUGUAGCGGUGAAAUGCGUAGAUAUCAGGAAGAACUCCGAUGGCGAAGGCAGCUUACUAAACUGCCACUGACAUUGAUGCUCGAAAGUGUGGGUAUCAAACAGGAUUAGAUACCCGGGUAGUC
This 460-nucleotide ribosomal RNA is filed under the name uncultured bacterium. Its description in RNAcentral is "partial 16S ribosomal RNA". It matches the Rfam family "Bacterial small subunit ribosomal RNA", at positions 338 to 795 of the family's 1533-position model. The record is from RNAcentral.